Molecule: long non-coding RNA, 82 nt
Organism: Bradysia coprophila
Lineage: Eukaryota; Metazoa; Arthropoda; Insecta; Diptera; Sciaridae
Source: RefSeq, a predicted model, not a curated record
AAACCAUUUUUAAAAUCACCGACGCUAUUUGUAGUUCCUGCAAAUAGUGCUUCAUGGAGACUAUUCGCAGUAACUGCAAAUA